RNA transcript from Maniola jurtina (meadow brown), 2360 nucleotides. It is a transcript of the gene named matrix metalloproteinase-14, with no coding region annotated. The record is from RefSeq and is a predicted model, not a curated record. The transcript has 13 exons. NCBI's taxonomy places the organism in Eukaryota, Metazoa, Arthropoda, Insecta, Lepidoptera, Nymphalidae.
AACGGGAUACCAAAAUCACACACAUAUCGAGAAACAUCAUUCAAUGAUUUUAUAGCAAUAUUUUGUGACCGUAUCGGCCUACAAUAAUAUUAUUUGCAAUAUAAGAAUGACAUAUUGUUUGUUAUAACAGAGUAGUAUUUUAUAGAUAAUUUUUAAGAACAAAUGAGCUUAUUAAGUAUAAGAGAAAACAUAUCAUCUAGAAGUAUGGCGUUCAUUGGUUUGAGAAGUAGUUUAAGGAUACUAUGGGCGGUGGCGGCAACGAUGGUGUUUUUGACGAGGAGUAGUGCUGCGCCUGCUUAUGGUGAAACCAACAGGGCAAUGCCUGAUUAUGACGUUGACUUCCAGAUGUACCUGGCCCAAUAUGGCUACCUCAGCCCGUCCGUACGGAAUCCUUCCAGCGGUCACAUAAUGGACGAAAGUACAUGGAAAAAAGCCAUCGCAGAGUUCCAGAGUUUUGCCGGAUUAAAUAGUACAGGUGAAUUGGACGAAGAAACUGUCAAGCUAAUGUCAUUGCCAAGGUGUGGAGUUAAAGAUAAAGUAGGCUUUGGUGAAAGCCGGUCCAAGCGAUACGCGCUUCAAGGCUCAAGAUGGCGUGUAAAGAACCUCACAUACAAGAUCUCCAAGUAUCCAUCUAGACUGAACCAUGCAGAGGUUGACGCCGAGCUGGCAAAGGCAUUCUCCGUUUGGUCCGAUUAUACGGACCUAACCUUUACCCAGAAGCGUGCCGGACAGGUCCAUAUUGAAAUUAGGUUUGAAAAGGGCGAGCACGGUGAUGGUGACCCCUUCGACGGCCCUGGUGGUACCCUGGCCCAUGCUUACUUUCCUGUAUACGGUGGUGACGCUCACUUUGAUGACGCUGAAAUGUGGUCCAUCAAUUCCAGAAGAGGAACCAAUCUUUUCCAAGUAGCAGCCCACGAAUUUGGUCACUCUCUAGGGCUUUCGCAUAGCGAUGUCCGCUCAGCUUUAAUGGCACCCUUCUACAGAGGCUACGAUCCCACUUUCCAGCUCGACCAGGACGACAUACAGGGCAUACAGGCUUUGUAUGGUCGUAAAACGCAAAUCGAUAUUGGCGGUGGGCUCCCCAACCCCACCGUGCCACGAAUCACCACGCCACAGCCCUCGGCCGAGGAUGCCACGCUAUGUUCGGACCCCACCAUUGAUACCAUAUUUAACUCAGCCGACGGUGCCACUUUUGUAUUCAAAGGCCAACAUUACUGGAGACUGACGGAGAACGGCGUAGCAUCGGGCUAUCCCCGCCUUAUCUCACAAUCAUGGCCCGGCCUGCCUGGAAACAUCGAUGCAGCUUUCACUUACAAAAACGGAAAGUCUUACUUUUUCAAGGGCUCUAAAUACUGGCGGUAUAACGGACAGAAGAUGGACGGAGAUUAUCCCAAGGAAAUUAGCGAAGGUUUCACUGGCAUCCCAGACAAUAUAGAUGCAGCAUUAGUAUGGUCCGGCAAUGGAAAAAUCUACUUCUACAAAGGUUCCAAGUUCUGGAGGUUCGACCCCGCGCAACGCCCUCCCGUCAAGUCCACGUAUCCUAAACCGUUAUCCAACUGGUCAGGAAUACCUGAUAAUAUCGAGGCAGCAUUGCAGUAUACGAACGGAUAUACCUACUUCUUUAAGGGUGGAUCAUAUUGGCGGUUUAAUGAUAGAACUUUCAGUGUGGACACCGACAAUCCUGCAUUCCCAAGGUCCACUGCUUACUGGUGGUUGGGUUGUAGUAGUGCGCCGCGUGGAACCGUCGGAGGUAAUGCGCGACUCUCCGUCCCUUCGCACUACGCCCACGACGACGAUGACGACGACGUGGGCGAUAUCAUAUUCGACGCAGGUUUAAAAUCAUCCGCUCCCAGAUCAUUCUUCUGGUUCAGGAAAUAGCCUCGGAGUUCCUGACCAAUUUGUACAUAGAGAAUAUCAUAAAGAACAAAGACUAAAUUAGUAACAUAGGGGAUCAUGUACCAGUGAGAUUAUAGACAUAAGCGGUGAUUUUAGUACCGGCGAGCUUCUCACGCGCUGCCUAUGCGGGCCACGCAGCGGGCGGCGACAGCGGCGCGGCUCACGCUCGGCAGUCGCUCACUCUCCUGCUCGCUUCGGUCUGCUCUCUGCUCCUGUUAAGGACACUUCCGCGCGCCUAGCGCCGGCCACCGCGUCUCCUCUGUGAUCGAGUGUUGUGUGCCUGACUGCGUUCGGUAUAUUGUGUAUAGCGAACGCCAUGCUGUGAUGUUAUGUCCUUUUAUACUGUUGUGAGAACGAUAAUUUAAUUAAAAGUCAUAGUUUUUAUACUUAAUAUAAAUAGAUGAUGUAAGUUCGAGUGUGAUAUUGACGUAAGCGACGAUUUUUGUAUUAAAAAUAUUUAAAGA